Molecule: ribosomal RNA, 537 nt
Filed under: Triticum aestivum (bread wheat)
Lineage: Eukaryota; Viridiplantae; Streptophyta; Magnoliopsida; Poales; Poaceae
Description: partial small subunit ribosomal RNA
Source: RNAcentral
AUGUUUUCGUCCCAGUCUCUGUCCCGCGUCAACAAUAUCUGUGUUGCCCUCACCAACGCGCAGAAGGGGACACAGCCUGUGGCGAGCUUCUUCAGGCACAUGCACUCACUUUCAGAUGAGCUCGCGGCUGCUGGCAAGCCGCUCGGAGAUGGUGAACUCGUCUCCUACAUCAUCGCCGCCCUAGACAUGGAGUACCAUCCCCUCGUCUCUGUGCUUGAUGCCCGCACCACGCCCAUCUCGCUCGACGAUCUGUUCACCAUGAUCAGCAACUUUGACCAGCGGGUUGCCCUCUACCAAGGGGGCCACUCUGGCGGCAGCUUCAAAUCCUCCACCAACGCGGCCAUGCGCGGUCGUGGUGGCGGUUCACGUCAUCGCGGCAACAACCACCGUGGCAACAAUGAUGGCGGCGGCCGGCCCUCCUCCAACAACAACCAGGGCCACCGCAACAACUCCAAUCACUCGCGCCCUGAUGCAGUCAAGUGUCAGAUCUGUGGCAAACUUGGCCACUCGGCCAAGGAUGUUGGAAAUAUGCCCUAG